AAUGAUGCUCAAAUAUUGCAUGACAACCGGGGAACCUAGCAACAGUAUAUUGUUACAGGAAAACCACUUCUUCCCCAGCUCCUGGGAACAUUGCAACUAAGGCCACAGAAACCUGGAGAGGGGUGGCAGAUGGCAUCAUAAUGCCUCCUGAUCACUAGGUCACUGACUCUGUGAGGCCUGGCUCCAAUACACCGCUGCUUAUCAUGAGGAACAUAUAAGGUGGCUAAUCACAUAUUUCCAAAAGAAAGGAGAAGGAAUCACCCCAAAAAAUCAGAACUGGGCUGGACUCAGUCUUUCAGAGACAUCUGCCUUCAUGUCUGUCUUCUGGAAAUGCAGGAUCCACGGCCACACACAGAAGGUGAUGUUUUGAGGAUGGGGAAUCACACUGAAUUGGAGUAAUAAUAACAAUGAGAAUCGUGUACCAUCAAGCCAUUUCUGAUACUGUGACCCUCUUUAAGGUUUUCUAGGUAGAGAAUACUUAAAAGUGGUUUCUUAUUCUCUUCUUCUGGGGGCGCCUAGGGACUAUGCAGCCUGCUGAAGGCCACACAGUCUGACUCUUCUUCCUGGAGCAGUGUUUUCCCGCCUGGAGGUCAUGACUCCCAAGGGGGCUGCAAAGUGUUUUCUGGGGGAUCAUGGGCUGCCUCAUAUGUGUUGUAGCCCUUGUUAAAUAACUUCUUCCUUGACUUUUCGAAGCGGGAGAUUAACAUUAGCGUGUAUGUGUAUGUAUGAGAAACAGGCUGUUUGCGGGAGAAAG
RNAcentral lists this long non-coding RNA (754 nucleotides) under Pogona vitticeps (central bearded dragon). RNAcentral's name for it is "lncRNA (ENSPVIG00000008142.1)". The record is from RNAcentral. Lineage: Eukaryota; Metazoa; Chordata; Lepidosauria; Squamata; Agamidae.